GAUGAACGCUGACAGAAUGCUUAACACAUGCAAGUCUACUUGAACUUCGGUUUGGGUGGCGGACGGGUGAGUAACGCGUAAAGAACUUGCCUCACAGAUAGGGACAACAUUUGGAAACGAAUGCUAAUACCUGAUAUUAUGAUUUUAGGGCAUCCUAGAAUUAUGAAAGCUAUAUGCACUGUGAGAGAGCUUUGCGUCCCAUUAGCUAGUUGGAGAGGUAACGGCUCACCAAGGCGAUGAUGGGUAGCCGGCCUGAGAGGGUGAUCGGCCACAAGGGGACUGAGAGACGCCCCUUACACCUACGGGAGGCAGGAGUGGGGAAUAUUGGACAAUGGACCGAGAGUCUGAUCAAGCAAUUCUGUGUGGACGAUGAAGUUUUUCGGAAUGUAAAGUGCUUUCAGUUGGGAAGAAAAAAAUGACGGUACCAACAGAAGAAGUGACGGCUAAAUACGUG
This 454-nucleotide ribosomal RNA is filed under the name uncultured bacterium. RNAcentral's name for it is "partial 16S ribosomal RNA". It matches the Rfam family "Bacterial small subunit ribosomal RNA", at positions 28 to 507 of the family's 1533-position model. The record is from RNAcentral.